This is a long non-coding RNA of Rhineura floridana, 715 nucleotides long. RefSeq lists it as uncharacterized. NCBI's taxonomy places the organism in Eukaryota, Metazoa, Chordata, Lepidosauria, Squamata, Rhineuridae. The record is from RefSeq and is a predicted model, not a curated record. The transcript has 5 exons.
GGGCAUCACAGAAAAGGCCUUGCUCCUUGUACCCAUCUGCUUUUGCCAGUCAGCAUCUCAGCAGAGCCUCCAGCAUAGAUCUUAGUGUGCAGUCUUAGUCUGCAAUGCCGUGCUGGGUUCCAGAGGAGGGGCAGUAUGGAACACAGUCUUUGAGCAGUAGUACUAUCUGCUCUGAGAACUGUCUGUGGCAGAGUUGACUUCUUCUGAGAGGACCAUGGAUGGGCUUUGUGUGCAUUUUCUGGUUGGAAGACUGCAUCGCAAAAUUCUGGGAAAUGCGAACUUUGAAGGAUAGCUGCGUUUUGGUUUGUGUAUUAGUUUCGGAAGUGGAAAAUAGUGUGAAGACUACACACACACAUUCUACUUGGCAGGAUGGUAUGCUUGCAUGGUCUUCUCCCUCAAACAGUUCUAGAGGGAUUUUUCUACGAUGACUUUGGUCUACAACCCAACAAGUUACAACUACACACAUCAACAUAAUGCACAUUUGUGCUUGUAGCAUCAUUUUUUUAAAAAAUGUGCUGAAAAAUUAAAACUGCUUUGUGUUACUCAUCUCUGUGGAAUUUAGCAGGAAAGCUUGUGAAGCUAAAAACUAGGCAGUUUUUUAUAUUUGUUGUUUAUUCAUUGUUUGUUUAGAUUGUUAAUAUUUCUGUACAGUGCAAUCACAAUACAAAUUCAAGCCAUAAGCAGCCUUACUAUGUAUGACAGAAAGCACAUAAUU